ACAUACCCUCCUCAAUGUCCAUCACCCAGCCACCUCAUCCCCCCCACCUCCCUCCACUCUAGCAACCCUCAGUUUGUUUCCUGAGAUUAAGAGUCUCUUAUGGUUUGUCUCCCUCUCUGGUUUCAUCUUGUUUCAUUUUUUUCCUCUCUUCCCCUAUGAUCCUCUGCCUUGUUUCUCAAAUUCCAUAUAUCAGUGAGAUCGUAUGAUAAUUGUCUUUCUCUGAUUGACUUAUUUAGCUUAGCAUAAUACCCUCUAGUUCCAUUCACGUCAUUGCAAAUGGCACGAUUUCAUUUUUUUGAUGGCUGCAUAAUAUUCCAUUGUAUAUAUAUACCACAUCUUCUUUAUCCAUUCAUCUGUCGAUGGACAUCUGAGCUCUUUCAUAUUUCAUCAAUAGUUUGGCUAUUGUGGACAUUGGACAUUGCUGCUAUAAACGUUGGGGUGCAUGUGCCCCUGCACAUGCAUCACUACCUUUGUAUCUUUGGGGUAAAUACCCAGUAGUGCAAUUGCUGGGUCAUAUGGUAGCUCUAUUUCCAACUUUUUGAGGAACCUCCAUACUGUUUUCCAGAGUUGAGCCAAGAAUUUAAAACUUGGAGCUUUCCUUUCCCUUCUCUAAGCUCACCAGUGUAGCCAAAGCGGCCAGACCACCCCAGAGAACCCUUGAUUUCCUUUUUCCCACUGUAAUGGUCUAUCUUAACAGGUGUGUAGUCUGCCCAAGAUUUACCUUCAAGAGGCCAGUCCUUCCAGGUGGCCCCAAGUGGUAAAAUAAGUUACGGUUUUGCCAUUACAUGUAGUUACUGAGACCUCACUGCCUUCAGACCCAGCCAAGUACAGCCACGAUGGAAAAUAAUAUGGAGGAUCCUCAAAAAAUUAAAAACAAAACUACCAUAGGAUCCAGCAAUUCUGCUUUUGGGAAUAUAGCCAAAGGAAAUGAAAACACUAACUCGAAAAUCUAUCUGCACCCCCAUGUUCAUAGCAGCAUUCUUUACAAUGGCCAAGACAUAGAAAUAACCUGGGUCCAUCGUGGAUAAAUGGUUAAAGAAGUUGUGGCAUGCAUAUGCAAUGGAAUAUAAUUCAGCCAUAAGAUUGAGGAAAUCGUACCAUUUGUGACAAUGUGGAUGGAGCUUAAAAGCGUUAUGCUAAUUGAAAUAAAUCAGAGAGAGAAAGACAAAUACUGUAUGAUCUCGUUUAUAAACCAAAACCCAAAGCCAAACUCAUGGAAAAAGAGAUCAGACUUGUGGUUGAAGUCAGAGAAAGAAAGAGAGUUGAAGAUGCACAGCUGGCUUUGCAGAUAGGGCCACAAGCCAGAGGAUGCAGGUGGUCUCUAGAAGCUGGAAAAGGCAAGGAAAUCAGCUCCCUGUAGAGCUUCCGGAAGGCACGCUGUCCUGCUGACACCUUGAUUUUAGGACUUCUGACCUCCCAAACUUGGACUAACAGUUUCCUUCUGGAAAAUGGAAUACGCAUAUGGAUUCCAAAUGGAGGUAGAAGAGAUUCCACGUUCGUUCAACUGGGUGAAAAAAGCGAGAUGGGGAGUCUCUGCCACUCUUACUCCCUUGGGAGACGCAGGAACCCGCACAGAGCACCAUCCCAGUGCUCUGUGGACCCCGAUGAACGGCACAUGGUGGGGCUUACCAAAGAGGCUUUGGGGAGAAGUGUAUCUCCACCCCGGCUUGUGAGGGUGGAAGGAGGGCCCCACUUACCUGAAGU
This is a long non-coding RNA of Mirounga angustirostris (Northern elephant seal), 1704 nucleotides long. RefSeq lists it as uncharacterized. The transcript has 3 exons. The record is from RefSeq and is a predicted model, not a curated record. NCBI's taxonomy places the organism in Eukaryota, Metazoa, Chordata, Mammalia, Carnivora, Phocidae.